AAUACCUAUUCAGAGAACAUAUUCCAGAAGAGAUUCUUUGGGUCCUCUAAAAGCCUGAUGGCAUGAACUGAUACCCUUCCUGGCGAACUCCCUCUGAUUUUGUUCUAUCUUUUUCUCCAGGCUCCCUCAACCCACUUGGCCUGUUCAUUUGUUUAUUCAUGCCAUAAAUAUUCCUCCCAUCAGAUAUUACUGAUCCUCCAACUGGUCUUAUUCUCCCGGCAUUCCACAAAACAAGACUUUUAUUCCUAAAAACAUUUAUCAGAGUUGAUAGCUGUGCUGCAGAGGUACAAAAGCCCAUACUUGGAGUAACAUCAUCAACAGACCUCCAAGGGGAAGGACAAUUCCAGGGACUAGAAACCUGCAGCAGGACCCACCUACCCUUCUCAGAAUUGGAAGGAAUGUUCCACUGACUUCCAGCUUCUGCUCCUCCCCGUGGCUUUGUUUUCAUAAAACCUCCAGUAAUAAGAUUAAAACCCAACCUCAUUCAGUUGGGCCACACCUCAACUAAAAAUAACAUCUUCAAAGGUCCUGUUUACCAACAGGAAUGGAUUAAGAUUAAGAACAUGUCUUUUUCUGGGGUUCAUAAUUCUACCUUCUGCAUGGCCCAAAUCUUAAAUUUUUUUUAAAAGAACAAUUUUUUAGGAAAAUUUCUGGAAAACUGAUAUCUUAAAAAAUUGCAAGCAGGUUCUUCCUGAAAGAGAUUAAGCUCAAAUUCCCCU
Molecule: long non-coding RNA, 719 nt
Organism: Choloepus didactylus (southern two-toed sloth)
Lineage: Eukaryota; Metazoa; Chordata; Mammalia; Pilosa; Megalonychidae
Exons: 3
Source: RefSeq, a predicted model, not a curated record